RNAcentral lists this ribosomal RNA (1325 nucleotides) under metagenome. RNAcentral's name for it is "bacterial LSU rRNA". It matches the Rfam family "Bacterial large subunit ribosomal RNA", at positions 1561 to 2925 of the family's 2925-position model. The record is from RNAcentral.
AGUGGAUGGGGAGCAACCUAGUUGUGCGUGUGUAAAGGUAGUGCCAAGAAAAGCGAUGAUCAUGUUGAAAAUCAAUUCCCGGUACCCGAAACCGACACAGGUGGGCAAGUAGAGAAUACUAAGGGGCGCGAGGUAACUCUCUCCAAGGAACUCGGCAAAAUGACCCCGUAACUUAGGGAAAAGGGGUGCCACCGAGAGGUGGUCGCAGUGAAGAGGCCCAGGCGACUGUUUAGCAAAAACAUAGGUCUCUGCAAACUCGAAAGAGGAGGUAUAGGGGCUGACGCCUGCCCAGUGCCGGAAGGUUAAAGAAGUUGGUCAGUUUUAGGAUGAAGCUAGCGACUGAAGCCCCGGUGAACGGCGGCCGUAACUAUAACGGUCCUAAGGUAGCGAAAUUCCUUGUCGGGUAAGUUCCGACCCGCACGAAAGGCGUAACGAUCUGGGCGCUGUCUCGGAGAGAGGCUCGGCGAAAUAGGAUUGUCUGUGAAGAUACGGACUACCUGCAUUUGGACAGAAAGACCCUAUGAAGCUUUACUAUAGCUUGGAAUUGUGUUCGGGCUUCCUGUGCGCAGGAUAGGUGGGAGGCGUAGAAGGUAUUCUUGUGGGGAUACUGGAGCCAACGGUGAGAUACCACUCUCAGGAGGCUAGAAUUCUAACUUAAUUAAGGACAGUUUCAGGUGGGUAGUUUGACUGGGGCGGUCGCCUCCAAAAAGGUAACGGAGGCGUACAAAGGUUCCCUCAGACUGGUUGGAAAUCAGUCGAAGAGUGCAAAGGCAGAAGGGAGCUUGACUGCGAGAAGUACAGUUCGAGCAGGGUGGAAACACGGUCUUAGUGAUCCGACGGUGCUGUGUGGAAGGGCCGUCGCUCAACGGAUAAAAGUUACUUUAGGAUAACAGGCUGAUCUCCCCCAAGAGUUCACAUCGACGGGGAGGUUUGGCACCUCGAUGUCGGCUCAUCGCAACCUGGGGCGGAAGUACGUCCCAAGGGUUGGGCUGUUCGCCCAUUAAAGCGGUACGUGAGCUGGGUUCAGAACGUCGUGAGACAGUUCGGUCCAUAUCCGAUGUAGGCGUGAGAAUAUUGAGAGGAGCCUUCCUUAGUACGAGAGGACCGGGAAGGACGCACCGCUGGUGUACCUGUUAUGAUGCCAAUUGUAAACGCAGGGUAGCCAAGUGCGGAGAGGAUAACCGCUGAAAGCAUCUAAGUGGGAAGCCCACCUCAAGAUGAGUAUUCUGGUGUAAGGUCACGGGAAGACGACCCGUAAAUAGGCACGAGGUGGAAGUGCAGAGAUGUAUGAAGCCGAAGUGUACUAAUAGACCGUCGGCUUGACC